This 441-nucleotide ribosomal RNA is filed under the name uncultured Acinetobacter sp. Its description in RNAcentral is "bacterial SSU rRNA". It matches the Rfam family "Bacterial small subunit ribosomal RNA", at positions 358 to 790 of the family's 1533-position model. The record is from RNAcentral. Lineage: Bacteria; Pseudomonadati; Pseudomonadota; Gammaproteobacteria; Moraxellales; Moraxellaceae.
GGAAUAUUGGACAAUGGGGGGAACCCUGAUCCAGCCAUGCCGCGUGUGUGAAGAAGGCCUUUUGGUUGUAAAGCACUUUAAGCGAGGAGGAGGCUACUUUGGUUAAUACCCAGAGAUAGUGGACGUUACUCGCAGAAUAAGCACCGGCUAACUCUGUGCCAGCAGCCGCGGUAAUACAGAGGGUGCGAGCGUUAAUCGGAUUUACUGGGCGUAAAGCGUACGUAGGUGGUCUUUUAAGUCGGAUGUGAAAUCCCUGAGCUUAACUUAGGAAUUGCAUUCGAUACUGGGAGACUAGAGUAUGGGAGAGGAUGGUAGAAUUCCAGGUGUAGCGGUGAAAUGCGUAGAGAUCUGGAGGAAUACCGAUGGCGAAGGCAGCCAUCUGGCCUAAUACUGACACUGAGGUACGAAAGCAUGGGGAGCAAACAGGAUUAGAUACCCUGG